GCCAAAAGCCCGCCUGCCGCCUGCUAUGUGCCAGACAUGCCAUCAGAGCCGAAGAUGCUGGAAUGUGGUCAUGCACCUGAAGGACACGCACUCGUGUGAGUGUGUAAGCACCAAAUCAACUGGCCAGGUGCAUGCAGAAGCACUAAGCCCAGGUUUCCUUAUUUUCCCUCUCAUCUCUCAGUGGUCCUGAGAAGUCCCCACGGAUCCCAUACCUACCUCUGUUUUAAAUCUACAGCAAAGUUCCCAGCAGGAAACCUACUAGGUGGAGCUGUAUCGUAUCGACAUGCCUUUAUCUCCACAUAGAGGCCUGCACAGAGCUGGGAAUGGCUGGACUCCGCUGUGGGGAUGCCUUUUGGGGGCCUGGGCCUUCACAUGCAAGCCCCUUUUCUCAUUUCCUGAGGGCUUAUGCCCCACUAUCAUCCCUAGGUUCCCCAAACAAGAUGAUCAGGGUAAAGUA
This 457-nucleotide long non-coding RNA is filed under the name Mus pahari (shrew mouse). RNAcentral describes it as "predicted gene 13388 (MGP_PahariEiJ_G0002717.1)". Lineage: Eukaryota; Metazoa; Chordata; Mammalia; Rodentia; Muridae. The record is from RNAcentral.